This 1319-nucleotide ribosomal RNA is filed under the name metagenome. RNAcentral's name for it is "bacterial LSU rRNA". It matches the Rfam family "Bacterial large subunit ribosomal RNA", at positions 1566 to 2875 of the family's 2925-position model. The record is from RNAcentral.
CUGUCGAGCGAACUUGUUCGCGAAGCAAUCGGAAGUGGUUCCAAGAAAAGCCUCUAAGCUUCAGUCUAACGAGACCGUACCGCAAACCGACACAGGUGGGCGAGAUGAGUAUUCUAAGGCGCUUGAGAGAACUCGGGAGAAGGAACUCGGCAAAUUUGUACCGUAACUUCGGGAUAAGGUACGCCCCUGGUAGUUUGACUGGCCUGCGCCAGGAGGACGAAAGGGCUGCAAUAAAAAGGUGGCUGCGACUGUUUAAUAAAAACACAGCACUAUGCAAACACGAAAGUGGACGUAUAUGGUGUGACUCCUGCCCGGUGCUGGAAGAUUAAAUGAUGGGGUGCAAGCUCUUGAUUGAAGUCCCAGUAAACGGCGGCCGUAACAAUAACGGUCCUAAGGUAGCGAAAUUCCUUGUCGGGUAAGUUCCGACCUGCACGAAUGGAGUAACGAUGGCCACACUGUCUCCUCCCGAGACACAGCGAAGUUGAAAUGUUUGUGAUGAUGCAAUCUACCCGCGGCUAGACGGAAAGACCCCAUGAACCUUUACUGUAGCUUUGCAUUGAAUUUUGAACCAAUCUGUGUAGGAUAGGUGGGAGGCUUUGAAGCGUGAACGCUAGUUUGCGUGGAGCCAACCUUGAAAUACCACCCUGGUUUGUUUGAGAUUCUAACCUUGGACCGUUAUCCGGUUCGGGGACAGUGCAUGGUGGGCAGUUUGACUGGGGCGGUCUCCUCCUAAAGUGUAACGGAGGAGUUCGAAGGUACGCUAGGUACGGUCGGACAUCGUGCUAAUAGUGCAAUGGCAUAAGCGUGCUUAACUGCGAGACUGACAAGUCGAGCAGGUACGAAAGUAGGACAUAGUGAUCCGGUGGUUCUGUAUGGAAGGGCCAUCGCUCAACGGAUAAAAGGUACUCUGGGGAUAACAGGCUGAUUCCUCCCAAGAGUUCAUAUCGACGGGGGAGUUUGGCACCUCGAUGUCGGCUCAUCACAUCCUGGGGCUGUAGCCGGUCCCAAGGGUAUGGCUGUUCGCCAUUUAAAGUGGUACGUGAGCUGGGUUUAAAACGUCGUGAGACAGUUUGGUCCCUAUCUGCCGUGGGCGUUGGAAAUUUGAAGGGGGCUGCUCCUAGUACGAGAGGACCGGAGUGGACGAACCUCUGGUGUACCGGUUGUCACGCCAGUGGCAUUGCCGGGUAGCUAAGUUCGGAAGAGAUAACCGCUGAAAGCAUCUAAGCGGGAAACUUGCCUUGAGAUGAGAUUUCCCGGGAACUAGAUUCCCCUAAAGGGUCGUUCGAGACCAGGACGUUGAUAGGUCAGGUGUGGAAGUG